RNAcentral lists this small RNA (2694 nucleotides) under Pongo abelii (Sumatran orangutan). Its description in RNAcentral is "sense intronic". The record is from RNAcentral. Lineage: Eukaryota; Metazoa; Chordata; Mammalia; Primates; Hominidae.
ACACCGUGAAUGCGGGAUGGAGAAGCAGUAUCCCCCGCGGCGGGCUCCUUUAGGGGCUGUGAUGUUUUAUAGCCUGGCAAGGGAAUGCCAAGACUCCCUGAGGAUCUGGCUCAGUUUAUCAGGGUCCUGCUGCUUGAGAGCAGGAGCCUGGAAGGUGAGGUGUGUAGACGCCCCAGCCGGGGCCUCUGGAGGCUGCAGUCGGGCUGAGGCAUUCAUUCCUCCGCAGGAGCCCCAGGGCUGGAGCAGCCGGAGCGUGGCCAUGGCGGCCGCAUGCUUUCUCCUGCCGCCUGGCUCUCUCUGUUCCCCUUCUGACCCCGGAGCCUCUGCCUCUCCUGCGUUCCCCUUCCUCACUCCCCUCCUUCACCUUCAGAGCCAGCGGACUUCUCCAGGCUGCACGCAGGCAAGGGGCUGGCAAUUGGAGGUCAAGCAGGCUCAGCUCGGAGCAGCGGGAGGAAAGAUUUACGGUUCCUCCCUGCCCUGCUUGGUGGACAAUUAAAGCCGCGCACGGUUGGAGGAGAGCAGUGUCGUGACGAGUCAGGAUGGUCAGAAGAAAUCAGUCACCUCCACUUAGACGGCUGAGCUAGACUGCUUCCCCGGGCCUUCCAGGGGGGAGUCCCCUGGGGUGUGGAUUUGAAGGUUCCGGAAUGGACUGUUCAAGGGUUUGACAUACUCUUGAGCUCCAUCAGAGUCAGAGCCUGAAGACCCUGGGGGUCUCCUCACAAAUGGGGCAUGUGCUGUAGGGAAUUAAGGGAAAAUUCUGGAUAAUGUGUUUAGAGGGCGUUUUGUCUCCGUGGUAUCCGGCAUCUGCAAGAACCUCAAACCUGAAUGUUUGGAAGUCAGGAUAGUGGACCCCCCCCCGCAAGUAGAGCGUGUGCACGCAUGUGCUUAUGUAUGCUUGUGCACAUGUAUGUGUGCACAGGUAUGUGCAUAUUAGUGCACACAUGUGCACAUGUGUAGAUUGUACAUGCAUGUGCCUGUGUGUAGAGUGUGCACAAGGCAUGCAUGUGCAUCCUGUAUGUGUGCAUGUGUGUGCAUGUAUGUGCACGUGCACAAGUGUGUGUCUGCAUUUGUAUGUGUACCCACAUGUACCUGUGUGAAUGCAUGAGCAUAUGUGUGUCGUACAUGUGUGUGUCAUGUAUGGGUACUGGUGCUUGCCUCUUGGACAUCACAGGCCCCACUUGUGUCUUUAAACACACACGCCCCUCUGCAAGGCUGCCGGGAGCUGGGCUUCUGAGCAUCCGCCAAGCCCUGCGGCCGUCCUUCUUCAUUUGUUCUGUGUGUUAUUUCAGUACCUUGAAGACUCUGGCAAUUUCCUCAAGGAAACUUUGUCUUUGUGGAAAUGAGAUGCCAGCACUCCUCGGCCCUCCCACUGGCUAAUUGAUGAUAUGAUCCCGCGUGGGAGACUUGCCAUUCCUGGAAACGCUCUUUAUUUCGUGGGCCCCCCCGCCCCCUGCCCGCCAUCGUCUGAUUUCUACGAGCUGCUGCAUGUGAGGUACAGGGCCAGGCAUUUGCUGUGACUCAGCCCAUGUGCCAGGCCUUUCAUUAACUUGGAUACUACAAUUAUGUGUGCCAAGAGACUGCGAGGGCCAUUUAGGAUUUUUCUCCCUUUAAGAAAAUAUUCCUUUUUCCCCAGCCAGGUAGCCCAGCCCUUUGCCUCUGCAGCUGUGGCCCAAGCACUCCUCAGCUCUCCCGGCACCAACCUGCAACAAACUCUUGUUGGGGGGCUGCGGCUCCGCCAUGGUUCUGUCGGAGGUGCUCAGCGGGUGGUCAAGGCAGCCUGCCUUUGGGAGCCGCAGGACAUGGCCUGCUGCGGCGGCUUCAUGGUCACAGCACGAAUAGCAGCAUGCGUGCUUUUGUGCCUGUGUGAGCACAUGCACACCCCAUCGGCACACGCGAGGAUGACCUUUGGCACAGAACACCUGCUGCUGUGGCCUGCAUAGAGAAGGGCUGACUCCAGGACAGCGGCUCCCAUUCGCCUCCGCCAAGGCCAGCUGGACCCUUCAAGGGACCCUGAGAAUUUCCGAGUGUGGGCAGUGGGGUUGUGUCGUGCGGGGGUGGAGUUGCACGGGUCUCCUGUGCACCUACACAUGCAUGCUGGCCAGCAUAUUAGUAUGUUCGCAGGGGUAGACCCUCUUCCCCCACUUAGGAGAUGCGUGCGUGGAAACUUGCCCCCGUGGGUGUCUUGGGAUGAAUAUUUGGGAUCCUGGGGGAUCUGGAUUGCAGAGUAGCUGGGCACUGUAAGAGUUCCUGUAAAUGCUGGGUCUCCUGGGGAGGGGGAGGCAUGGAGCACUUCUCACUUCUGUGGGUGGGUGGAAGGUUGGGGAGGGGCCACACUGGCUCAAGAUCACCCCACAGGGAGCAACCUGAUCUGAGGACAGACCUGCCUGGGACUCUGUGGAACUGAGAGGAGACACCUGCUUCCCCCUUCAAAGGUCAGGAGAUUCUGGGGACACGGGCUGCCUUCCAUACGUUACCCACAAAGCUCAUUAAAAGCACCAUUCAGAGGCCUUGUUAUCUCAAAAAGGAAGGCAAGAGUCUAACCCCCUAAGCACCAAAUAACAACUCAACAACUCAAAAACUUAUUUUUUUAAACUUCCUGGAGUUGCCAUGGUUACUUGCACGGUCCCUGCGUCUCUGUUGCUCUACGUGCAGCUGCUUGGAGGAGGAAUGAAAGCCUCCGAGCUUCACCCCUUG